Eutrema salsugineum is the source of this 807-nucleotide long non-coding RNA. RefSeq lists it as uncharacterized. The transcript is spliced from 4 exons. NCBI's taxonomy places the organism in Eukaryota, Viridiplantae, Streptophyta, Magnoliopsida, Brassicales, Brassicaceae. The record is from RefSeq and is a predicted model, not a curated record.
AGUGCAGUCUCUCACGUUAAAAAACCCUAAAUAUAAUACAGAGACAAAUAGUUUGUCAAGCAUUGAGAUCUGAUCUAUACGGCACUAGCAUCCCGUCCUGAUCUAGUUUGUGUGCGUGUGGAUACCGGUAGAGGUAGGUUGGCAACAUCGAUAUGCUGGUCACAGAGGUUUCGAAUGGUUGAAUUGUGUGAAUCCUCCGAAAUCAACAACCAAAAUUGUUUCCUUUUGGAUUAUCGCUGGUCCCCUAUUUUCUUAUUCUCAUUCUUUGUGUCGCAAGGAAAGGGAGAAUGAAAUUGGCGAACGAAGAUGUCUACAUUGAUGCUACUCCACAGAAGAUAUAUAUAGAGAGCCCUAUUUAAUAUUUGAGCCUGCCGAAUGUAUUUUUUCAUGAGUAUAUAGUUUGAUGUUUGGGGAUGUUUCAUGGUAAAUUUGAAAGUUAUGGUAAUUUGGUGGUAAUUCUCCCUCUAUUUACAGGCACGUAGAGCACACAUAACAAGUGGCGUUUUAGAAUGCUUGGCUUUGUCCCAUGUAGAGGCGCAAUUGCAAUAAUCUAUUAAAAAUAUUUUCGGGAAGCAAUAACUUGGCAAAAUGAGAAACUAUUGCUUUGGAACUCAUUUUUUUAUCAAGAUUUCUUUGAAAAAGUGCCAGCCACAGGCGGGGAACUCAGCCAUAGAAACUGAGUAUAAUAAUCAUUGAAGUUUCUUGAGACUGUUAAAGGUUGUCAAAUGUAGCAUUGUAGUGGCUAACUAGCUUGACCCUUCUGAUCUUGCUAACAAAAAAAAGACCAAAUGAAGGAGAAACCGCUGC